RNAcentral lists this long non-coding RNA (5191 nucleotides) under Pelobates cultripes (western spadefoot toad). Lineage: Eukaryota; Metazoa; Chordata; Amphibia; Anura; Pelobatidae. The record is from RNAcentral.
AUAUCUCUAGUUUGUGUGCACAUUCUGUGUUUGUGUGUAAACAGGAAUGUAAAACGGACUUUAACCAUUUCUCUCCUAGUUAUCUUCUACCACUCUAUAGUGGACAUAUCAGGUUGUGAGCCAGUUUUGACCAUAAUAAAGAUGGCCGCCGUGGGGUUUGGUUCUGGCAGAUUUCCAUGAGUCAUACACAGUUAUAGAGCUGCAUGACCAGGCCUUGCGAAUGCAAUCGCGAGAGUAUGACGUCAUCCCCAACGAGCUCACAGUGCUAUAUAAGAGGAACACACGCCAUUUUCUUUCUCAUUGCUCGGCUGUCCUUGCUGGCAGGUGGUGAGUUGUGUUCUAUAUUUCUUUCGUAUUUUUUUUAAUUUGUUUUUUUACUUGCUGUCUGCCCAUUGGCACUGCAUUGUGUUAUUUGAUGUUUGCAGACAGGUUUGCGUCCAAAUUAUUUUCUAGUUAACGUUCAUGCUUUACACGUGUCCGUCAGGUUUUGUUCCUUAUAAUACAGCUCUCCGUCUUUGAAAGCACUUGGAGCUCUUCCUGUACCUGCUGUUGGCAAUGCCAUCUUCUGUCCACCUUUUGGAUAUUAAUUAUUUUAUAUAUAUAUAUAUAUAUAUAUAUAUAUAUAUAUUUUUUUAUAUAUAUAUAUAUAUAUAUAUAUAUAUAUAUAUAUAUAUAUAUAUAUAUAUAUAUAAUUAACCUGCAUUUGUGUAUACUGGGUAAGUAGUUAAACUGCUGAAGUGGUUAUGGUUCUUGAUCCAUGCUGCUGCUCUUAGUAACUGGCUACUUAUCGAUGUAAACUCAUGUUGUGCAGUGGUUUAGCAUUUCUUCCUGUCUGAAGCUCCCAGCAGGCCCGAUAUGCCGUGCAUUUCCCAGCCAUGGCAGCCCUUACUCUAAGCAUAAGAACUCUAGUGGACAUAGGGGGGUGGGGGAGUAUUGCAAAUAUCGCCCAAUCCAGGGAGUCCCCACUCCUUUCUGUCUGCUCUCACUAUUGCUACAAUAGGUUUUACAUGUCUUUUAUUUCAGCCUUCCAUGCAACUUGUGUCUCCUGUGCUUUAAUCUGCUACAGAUGUCUGUACAGUGACACAUACCCUUAAAGUAUGGCAUCAGGGGACUUGAGAUAAAAUAACCAGUGCAAUAGUUGUUCUUUUUAAAGGAUUACGCUAAGCACCCUGACCGCUUUUAGUGGUGAUUGGAGUCUUUGUGCAGCAUUUUUCUAUUAAAAGCAUUCCAAGGCAAAGCUCCAUGCUGUGGAGGUGUAACUACACCCCCCCAAUUUCUGGCUGCACAAGGAGUUGCUAUGUCAUCCAAAACUCAGCCAUACAAGUCUGGUGUAACUUGUAGUCUGUUUUUAUUUUUUUUAGGAUGAACAUGUGCAUUCAUAAUGGAUCAUCAGUCGUUCAGUGUGAAUUAAAUUAAUAGUGGUGGUUUUUUUUUUUUUUUUGUAUGUUGGAUGCCUUGUCUCUUGUAGGCACAACUCUGCAUGAGUGUGUCAGUUGUUACAAGGCAAAAUUAAAAGUACAGGUUUUGCUUCCAUCAUGCUAAAUAUUCUGUUGCAGUGAUGACAAUGAGACCUGUCACAUGUUCGUCUCUUGCAUAUUGACUUGUUAAUGUUUACCACAUAAUGACUUCAUUCAAUGAAUAUAAGCCUUAACUUCUCUCCUCAGGUUGAAAGUUUUGAAAUGUUUUUGGCUGAUUGUCAUAUACUCGUCUACUGGGACAGGGCUCCAUGAUGGGUAAGAUUAAUGUAAAACGAAUUUUAAAUAAAGCACUUAUGUCUUUGUACCUUUUGUGUUGGUACAGACUUAAAACUAGUGCUGAUAAUAAACCCUUCUCUUGCAACCCACAACAAAUUGUCUUGUAUGAGUUGUGUUACUUAUGGGAAGGGACAAUAUUUUAGCUUGUCUUAUUAUAACUCUUAACUGCUAUUGCAAUGAGACCUGUUGCUAGCUAGUCUCUAUGAACAUUAUCUUGCUAAUGAUUCCUCAAUGGCUUUUAUGGAAUGAGUUCAAACUUUAGCUUCUCUCCUCAGGUUGAAACAUUUGAAAUGCAUUUUGUCAGAAAAUGUACUCCUUUACUGGAAAAAGGCUCCAUGAUGGUAAAUAGUUUUCCUUUUUAAUUUUUAUUUUAAUGAAAAAUGCACUUGUGUCUCUGUACCUCAUUAUUGGUACAAACUUAAAAGAAGUGCUGAUAUUAAAACCUUCUCUUGCGACCCACAACAUUUUUGUCCUGUAUGAGUUGUGUUACUUAUGGGAAGGGACAACCUUUAGUUUGGCCAGUCAUCUAAAACUCUUAAUUUGAGAUUUCUAUAUGCCUUAAACAUUUUUUUUUUUUUUCCUCUUAGAUCCCAUCUGAAAUAUGUAUCUUAAAGAAGGUAUGUUGAUGAUUUAACUGUUCAGAAGUACAAAUGGAGGCAACAGAUCUCUAACAUAUUUUUAUUCUAUAGCAAUCACCAAUGUGUUGUAUUGAUGAUGCCCCUGCAGUCUGUCUGCUAUAUUGUCUAUUUAAGUGUUAAAUAACUUUGUUUAUGCAGGUGUAGACACUCCUACCCUGCAUGUAACCUCUAAAAUCAUUACAUCUCUUUACAGGAGAUGUUUAAACUUGCUAUAUAUUGCACAGUUGGCCUGCAUGAGCCUUGUCUGUAACUACAGUUAAAUUAACAGUGCAGGAUAGAAUAUAUCCUGUAUCUCUAAACAGUGCUGCAUAAACAAGUGACUUUAUCCUAAAUGAUAAAGAAUUGGUGUCCUUUAACACUUCUAGCAGUCAAUGUUCAUUUGUGUUGAUGAUUGGCAAUGUUCAACUGCUCUGAGUCAGAAUGAUGGAAUAAUAAGCCUUUCUGAACAAAGUUAAAUCUUUAUACAAUGUGUCAAUCCUCCCUGGCCUAAAUUAUUGAUGUUUGUUUGUUUUUUCCGCUCUCUCAGGUUAACAGUGGCAUAGCUUGUUGGAAAGGGUAAGCCUUAAUUGUGUUUUAUUUAUUUUUAUGGUGGUUUUGCACUGAAUGGUAUCUGCAUCCAGUAGCACUACCUACUGUGGUGUUCAAUAUAUGGUGCAAUAUAAACUCAACAGGCAUCGUUGGUUUUCAAGCCUUUUUGUUUGUGAACCUGGUUUUUAUGUUGAUACAUUACAUUCUUAGCUGUGGUAUUGGGGGAGGCAGUUGGUCCACCUCUAUCAAAUAGUGAGGCAUAUCUUUAUUUAUAUUUUUUUUUUGUCCCUCUAUUUCAUUUAGCAUUUGGAUGUAAAUCUGAAAAUUUGAGACCCUUUCAUUAGCAAACUGCUCUGGUAAGUAUUGCUACUCUACUUGACUAUUACUGCAUUUUGUUAGUCAUACAUGACUAGAUUGUAAGCUUGCUUCAUGUACAGGAACAGUAGGUGAAAAGGGCAAUGGCCAAACAUUUUGUUGGCAUUGUCCUAAAACUGUGUACCACAAUUUCUCUCUUGAGGUCUAUCCCGAUGGGUCUUUGAUGUAGGACCAUAUCGUUGGAAAUGCCUCAGAAAUUAAUCUUGCAGUUUCGCUUUACCUGCUAACUUUAUCUUUAGUGGGAUAAAACUGCAUUACACGGAAUCCUUUUAUUUGAUUUUUUUUUUUUUUUUUUUCUGACAUAUCAAACUUGAGUUUUGUUCUUUUUUAGGUGACUCUUGUCCAGUUUCAGAAUUAGAGGCUUCAAAUGUUGAAGAUGUAACAUUUAAGAGGUAACUUUGCAAUUUGACUUUCAGAGCUAAAAGUGGAAUGUUGCUUUGAACAUGGCUUGGUAGCUUCUCAUUCUGGCCAUUUUGGGAGUUUAUGGAAUUCAGGUUAAUCACUGACCAGCAUCUGUUCCAUGAGUGGAACGACUGCUGCAGGUAGAUGGCAGCCAUACGGCAAUUGCCAUUAGUCUGCUUCAUUCAGUCUGCAUUUCAAAUCAGUUCAUAUGAUGAGAUUUCACUGUUCAACUGCUGUAUGACUGAAGUGUGAACUAACAUAAUGAACUUCUGACAAGAACUGACUUAAUUUAAGACUAUUGUCGGUGACCUUAUUCUAGCACACUUUGCUUUAAGAUGUAAGGUGGGUGGCAUAAUUUCUUUUAAAAUAUGAAGUAUUCUGUGAAGCUGGAGAUUUUGUAAACCUAAUUACCACUUGUAAAUUUCAUGUACUGCAUAAUGUUUUGUUUAAACUAGUUGCACAUUAACACUCACUCUUCCAUGUCUUAGGUGAAAGCUAUCCAUUAAACAGAAGAUGAGGUGAGUGGUCUUUCAGCCUUCUGCACUGAAUGGUAUCUGCACCCAAUGGCAACUUCCUGUUGUGGUGUUCAUUACGCAGUGCAAGAGAAACUCAGCAACUGGCAUCGUUGGUUUUCAGACCUCUUGUGUCUGUGAGCCUGGUUUUUAUGCUGUGACAUUAAUUUCUAUUUCUAAGGCCUGUGAAGGAAUAACAACUUGUUUUUUUUAAUUUUAGGUAAUGCAUCAGAAUCCCUGUUUGAAGGUAAACAAUUUUUAUUUUUUUAUUAGAAUGCUUGCUUAUUGUAAACUAUAAAAUCUGGUAAUGUAAAUGUGGUCAUUACCAAAGCUUCUAUGAACUUCAGUUUCUAGUUCGCUGUGGACAUGACCAAAAAGCAAAUGUCACUUGGCUUUCUGAUGCUGUAGAUGUAUAUGGCUAAGCCUUUUGUCAUACAGUCUUGUAUGCACUUUUACUUUUUUGUAUGCUUGCCACUGCUCCAACCUGUGAGUGUAACUAAACAAGGUUUUUAACAUCCAUGUGCUUUAUUUCAGAAGCUGCCUUUUCACUGACAUGAGGUAAGAUUUGUGCUACAAAUAGUUAGUGCCCUGCUUUAAAACUGUCUGAAACCUUUAACAUGUUCACCUACACUGUAAUAGGGUCACUUCAAAGAGAACUUGUCUGGCUUUCAAACCACUUGUUCUUACGCGAUGACCCAAAAGCAUAAUCUUCUACAGGAUACUAUGGGCACUCUGUGGUGUGUACCAUGGUCUAUUUUAGAGGAGAUAUCCAUUUAAUUACAUGGCCUAUUAAAUUGCUAUAUUUACAAUUUGCUGAACUUUCAUCUUUAUUACAGGUUUAAAAGAAGGAAGUCCUGUUGUCUCCUUGCAAUGAACUACUGAAAUAAAGAUUUUAUAUACAAACUUGGCUACUGGUAUCUUUCGUCUCGUGCUGUUAAUUUUUCAAAGUAAAACAUACCACUCCUAGGGAGGGAAGAUAUGU